ACGGGUGAGUAAUACAUCGGAACGUGCCCGAUCGUGGGGGAUAACGGAGCGAAAGCUUUGCUAAUACCGCAUACGAUCUACGGAUGAAAGCAGGGGACCGCAAGGCCUUGCGCGGACGGAGCGGCCGAUGGCAGAUUAGGUAGUUGGUGGGAUAAAAGCUUACCAAGCCGACGAUCUGUAGCUGGUCUGAGAGGACGACCAGCCACACUGGGACUGAGACACGGCCCAGACUCCUACGGGAGGCAGCAGUGGGGAAUUUUGGACAAUGGGCGAAAGCCUGAUCCAGCCAUGCCGCGUGCAGGAUGAAGGCCUUCGGGUUGUAAACUGCUUUUGUACGGAACGAAAAGCCUUUUUCUAAUAAAGAGAGGUCAUGACGGUACCGUAAGAAUAAGCACCGGCUAACUACGUGCCAGCAGCCGCGGUAAUACGUAGGGUGCGAGCGUUAAUCGGAAUUACUGGGCGUAAAGCGUGCGCAGGCGGUGAUGUAAGACAGAUGUGAAAUCCCCGGGCUCAACCUGGGAACUGCAUUUGUGACUGCAUCGCUGGAGUGCGGCAGAGGGGGAUGGAAUUCCGCGUGUAGCAGUGAAAUGCGUAGAUAUGCGGAGGAACACCGAUGGCG
RNAcentral lists this ribosomal RNA (619 nucleotides) under Acidovorax sp. EECC-557. Its description in RNAcentral is "bacterial SSU rRNA". It matches the Rfam family "Bacterial small subunit ribosomal RNA", at positions 102 to 717 of the family's 1533-position model. Lineage: Bacteria; Pseudomonadati; Pseudomonadota; Betaproteobacteria; Burkholderiales; Comamonadaceae. The record is from RNAcentral.